RNAcentral lists this ribosomal RNA (496 nucleotides) under uncultured bacterium. RNAcentral describes it as "partial 16S ribosomal RNA". It matches the Rfam family "Bacterial small subunit ribosomal RNA", at positions 29 to 507 of the family's 1533-position model. The record is from RNAcentral.
AUGCACGCUGGCGGCGUGCCUAAUACAUGCCCGUCGAGCGAACAGACGAGGAGCUUGCUCCUCUGACGUUAGCGGCGGACGGGUGAGUAACACGUGGAUAACCUACCUAUAAGACUGGGAUAACUUCGGGAAACCGGAGCUAAUACCGGAUAAUAUAUUGAACCGCAUGGUUCCAUAGUGAAAGACGGUUUUGCUGUCACUUAUAGAUGGAUCCGCGCCGCAUUAGCUAGUUGGUAAGGUAACGGCUUACCAAGGCGACGAUGCGUAGCCGACCUGAGAGGGUGAUCGGCCACACUGGAACUGAGACACGGUCCAGACUCCUACGGGAGGCAGCAGUAGGGAAUCUUCCGCAAUGGGCGAAAGCCUGACGGAGCAACGCCGCGUGAGUGAUGAAGGUCUUCGGAUCGUAAAACUCUGUCAUUAGGGAAGAACAAAUGUGUAAGUAACUAUGCACGUCUUGACGGUACCUAAUCAGAAAGCCACGGCUAACUACGUG